RNAcentral lists this ribosomal RNA (503 nucleotides) under uncultured bacterium. RNAcentral's name for it is "bacterial SSU rRNA". It matches the Rfam family "Bacterial small subunit ribosomal RNA", at positions 25 to 518 of the family's 1533-position model. The record is from RNAcentral.
CAGGAUGAACGCUGGCGGCAGGCUAAUACAUGCAAGUCGAACGGUAAGGCCGAGUGCAGCAAUGCAUGAGGUACACGAGUGGCGCGACGGGUGCGUAACGCGUAUGCAACCUGCCCCCGACCGGGACAAAACAGCUGGAAACGGCUGCUAAUAUCCCAUGGUUACCGAGGAGGGCAUCCUCCUUUGUAUAAAGAUUCAUUGGUCGGGGAUGGGCAUGCGUAUUAUAGGUAGUUGGCGGGUAACGGCCCACCAAGCCGACGAUGAUUAGGGGUCCUGAGAGGGUUAUCCCCCCACACUGGAACUGAGACACGGUCCAGACUCCUACGGGAGGCAGCAGUAGGGAAUAUUGGGCAAUGGGAGCAAUCCUGACCCAGCCAUGCCGCGUGAAGGAAGACGGCCCUAUGGGUUGUAAACUUCUUUUGCCGCAGAGUAAAGUCCGCCACGUGUGGCGGUUUGAGAGUAUGCGGCGAAUAAGUAUCGGCUAACUCCGUGCCAGCCGCCGC